Molecule: ribosomal RNA, 253 nt
Filed under: uncultured bacterium
Lineage: Bacteria
Description: partial 16S ribosomal RNA
Rfam family: Bacterial small subunit ribosomal RNA
Source: RNAcentral
UACGUAGGUGGCAAGCGUUGUCCGGAAUUACUGGGUGUAAAGGGAGCGCAGGCGGGAAGCCAAGUCAGCUGUGAAAACUACGGGCUUAACUUGUAGACUGCAGUUGAAACUGGUUUUCUUGAGUGAAGUAGAGGUUGGCGGAAUUCCGAGUGUAGCGGUGAAAUGCGUAGAUAUUAGGAAGAACACCAGUGGCGAAGGCGGCCUACUGGACGGUGACUGACGCUGAGGCUCGAAAGCGUGGGGAGCAAACAGG